RNAcentral lists this ribosomal RNA (439 nucleotides) under uncultured bacterium. RNAcentral's name for it is "partial 16S ribosomal RNA". It matches the Rfam family "Bacterial small subunit ribosomal RNA", at positions 339 to 795 of the family's 1533-position model. The record is from RNAcentral.
CUACGGGGUGCAGCAGUGGGGAAUCUUAGACAAUGGGCGCAAGCCUGAUCUAGCCAUGCCGCGUGAGUGAUGAAGGCCUUAGGGUCGUAAAGCUCUUUCGCUGGGGAAGAUAAUGACGGUACCCAGUAAAGAAACCCCGGCUAACUCCGUGCCAGCAGCCGCGGUAAUACGGAGGGGGUUAGCGUUGUUCGGAAUUACUGGGCGUAAAGCGCGCGUAGGCGGACUGUUAAGUCGGGGGUGAAAUCCCGGGGCUCAACCCCGGAACGGCCUUCGAUACUGGCAGUCUGGAGUUCGAGAGAGGUGAGUGGAAUUCCGAGUGUAGAGGUGAAAUUCGUAGAUAUUCGGAGGAACACCAGUGGCGAAGGCGGCUCACUGGCUCGAUACUGACGCUGAGGUGCGAAAGUGUGGGGAGCAAACAGGAUUAGAUACCCCUGUAGUC